This 67-nucleotide transfer RNA is filed under the name Psychomyia forcipata. Its description in RNAcentral is "tRNA-Cys". Lineage: Eukaryota; Metazoa; Arthropoda; Insecta; Trichoptera; Psychomyiidae. The record is from RNAcentral. RNAcentral also lists the same sequence under 3 other names.
AAUCUUAUAUUCAAUAAUGAUAUUAAAUUGCAAAUUUAAAGGUUAAUUAAAAUUUAAUUUAAGAUUU